Molecule: transfer RNA, 61 nt
Filed under: Agonoscena pistaciae
Lineage: Eukaryota; Metazoa; Arthropoda; Insecta; Hemiptera; Aphalaridae
Description: tRNA-Thr
Source: RNAcentral
GUUUUGAUAGUUUAAAAAAAACAUUAAUUUUGUAAAUUAAAUUUACGUAAAGUUCAAAACU